ACAUGCAAGUCGAACGGAAAGGCCUCUUCGGAGGUACUCGAGUGGCGAACGGGUGAGUAACACGUGGGCAAUCUGCCCUGCACUUCGGGAUAAGCCUGGGAAACUGGGUCUAAUACCGGAUAGGACCUCAAGACGCAUGUCUUCUGGUGGAAAGCUUUUGCGGUGUGGGAUGGGCCCGCGGCCUAUCAGCUUGUUGGUGGGGUGACGGCCUACCAAGGCGACGACGGGUAGCCGGCCUGAGAGGGUGUCCGGCCACACUGGGACUGAGAUACGGCCCAGACUCCUACGGGAGGCAGCAGAAGGG
RNAcentral lists this ribosomal RNA (304 nucleotides) under uncultured Mycobacterium sp. Its description in RNAcentral is "bacterial SSU rRNA". It matches the Rfam family "Bacterial small subunit ribosomal RNA", at positions 54 to 354 of the family's 1533-position model. The record is from RNAcentral. Lineage: Bacteria; Bacillati; Actinomycetota; Actinomycetes; Mycobacteriales; Mycobacteriaceae.